This 22-nucleotide transfer RNA is filed under the name Nicrophorus guttula. Its description in RNAcentral is "tRNA-Leu". Lineage: Eukaryota; Metazoa; Arthropoda; Insecta; Coleoptera; Silphidae. The record is from RNAcentral.
GUUUACACUUUCUUUAGAAAAA